Molecule: ribosomal RNA, 549 nt
Filed under: uncultured Glomus
Lineage: Eukaryota; Fungi; Glomeromycota; Glomeromycetes; Glomerales; Glomeraceae
Description: SSU rRNA
Rfam family: Eukaryotic small subunit ribosomal RNA
Source: RNAcentral
UUGGAGGGCAAGUCUGGUGCCAGCAGCCGCGGNAAUUCCAGCUCCAAUAGCGUAUAUUAAAGUUGUUGCAGUUAAAAAGCUCGUAGUUGAAUUUCGGGGUCAGCAGGUUGGUCGUGCCAAUGGUAUGCACUGGCCUUGCUGAUUCCUCCCUCUUGAUGAGCCGUAAUGUCAUUAAUUUGGUGUUGCGGGGAAUCAGGACUGUUACUUUGAAAAAAUUAGAGUGUUUAAAGCAGGCAAGCGCUUGAAUACAUUAGCAUGGAAUAAUGAAAUAGGACGUUUGAUCCUAUUUUGUUGGUUUCUAGGAUUGACGUAAUGAUUAAUAGGGAUAGUUGGGGGCAUUAGUAUUCAAUUGUCAGAGGUGAAAUUCUUGGAUUUAUUGAAGACUAACUACUGCGAAAGCAUUUGCCAAGGAUGUUUUCAUUAAUCAAGAACGAAAGUUAGGGGAUCGAAGACGAUCAGAUACCGUCGUAGUCUUAACCAUAAACUAUGCCGACUAGGGAUCGGAUGAUGUUAAUUUUUUAAUGACUCAUUCGGCGCCUUACGGGAAAC